Molecule: long non-coding RNA, 8210 nt
Organism: Cavia porcellus (domestic guinea pig)
Lineage: Eukaryota; Metazoa; Chordata; Mammalia; Rodentia; Caviidae
Exons: 2
Source: RefSeq, a predicted model, not a curated record
CGGAAGCCCGUCCGUGCCCCGAGGGGCCGCGCUUACCCGUCGGGCGAAUACUCCAGGUUGAAGACCGCACCGUGGGUGCGUGUGCUGAGGUACACGGAAUCCGCGGGGUGGAUGGAACAGUACAGGUGACCGUGGAGGCCUCUGCAGAGAAGUGUGGCUGUGGAGGGGAGCAUCGGACGUGGAGGAUGGACGUGGAGUAUGGCACUGGCUGGCACUGUUGGUCCUGAUUGAAAGGAUUUUGCCCUAAAGGGGAUGCUGCAGCACUGGGAGGCAAAAGGUCACCUUCCCCCCUCCUAAGCAAUUUAUCUGUGGCGUGAAAUGAAUUCCAAUGGGCUACCUAUACAUCAGUAAUGCCCCUUAGGCACCACCCCAAACCUAAGCUCCAUGUAUGUCCCACACGAUGUGUCCGGUGGAGAGAAAGCCAGACCCCGGAGGUCAUGGAGUCUCUCUCCAUAUUCUUAAAACAAAGGCCACUUUUAUCUCAUAUUUCUAUCUUUUUAGCCAUGCCGAAAAUUGUAUCACUGGCAAUCUAUGACAGAGAUUAAAUAAGGGUCACAGAAAAUACAGUGGCAUAGUGCCGCAGAAUCAGGGAAUAGGGAAAAUGAGCAACAACUUCUCAUCUCCAACCAACUGAAGAGGUCAGAUCUUCCGACAGACUCAAAACCCAAAAACCAACUGCCCCUGGAAGAUACCUCAGAGAAGUAGUCAUCACCUAGGGUCCUAAAUACUACCAGUAAAGCAACCCACUGUAGGCAACUUUCAAGCAUCACCCCAGGAAUUAAACUUAAAAAAGAGAAAAUAAAAUGAGAAGACACUUAAGCAAAAUGCAACCUCAGACAUCCAGUUCACAAAAGGCAAAUCCAGGGGCAAUGAGGAGGACAACCCAAAGCCCCCCACCAGGUCUCUUUGAAGUAGGAAAAGCAAAGCAAUUGAAUGAGACUCUGGAAAAAAAAAUGAAAUUGGAAAUAAUCUCUCAGAUAACUGCAGAGAUUACCAGAGUCACCUCUGGCAACUUCUUUCAAACCUGACAUGUCACAAGACCAAGAAAAGACUAGAAACGAACAAAGUCAUUUUGGGGUAAGCUACUGAUUGAAUGGCUUAAGUGGCCACUGGUCUUGAAGGAGAGACAUCAAACGGGUUCUAUCUCCUGGACCAAUUCCCACUGAUCAGAACUCCUUGUCUUGAGAAAUUCUGAAAAGGGUCCUGGACCCAACAUGAAGCAUUGCUGUCAUCAAUUAGAGAUGUCUAACGUGGCAAGGCAAUAUUGUGGCAAUAGUGCAGUAUCUAGUGUAUCAAGUCCAGCUCAGACACCCAACAGCAGUCAAACCUCCUGGGAUUCAUUGUGGUCCUAAGACCUUCUAUGGCCUUGUUUUUGUUUUUUGUUUUUUUGUACUGGAAAUCUAACUCAGGGCCUCACACUUGCCAGGCAAGCAGUGUGCCACUGAGCUAUGUGGCCCUUUGAAGUCUACUCAUUUUUGAUUGCCAGGGCAAUAAUUUUUUUCAUCCGUCCCAACAAUAGUAACUUCUAUAAUGAGCACUUAAUAUGUACUGUGUCAGGCUUUUUACAUACAGUAUCCCAUACAAUACCCCCAGCAAUCUUAAAUUUUAUACAUAUGGAAACUAAGAAUCAGAAAGGUGGGUCAUGCGGAGAUAAAUGUUUGAGUCUAGAUUUAUUUUUACUUGGUUGGGUUUGUUUGUUUGUUUGGGAGACAGGGUUUUAGUUCAGGCUGGCCUUGAACUCACGGCAAUUCUCCUGCCUCAGCCUCUCCUGGGCUGAGAUCACAGGUGUGUAUCAUCACGCCUGGCUCAGUCCUUUCCACUGUUAUAGUUUCUCUCUCUCUCUCUUCCUCCCUCCCUCCUUCCCUCCCUCCCUCCUGCUUUCCUCCCUCCCUGUCUCCUUCCCUCCCAUACCAGAAAACAAACAAAACUUUAUUCUAAAUAAAAAGUAGGGGAAAAAACAAAAUUUUGAAUGUUCUUUCCACAUGAAGUUAGAGGAAGGCUGCAAGAAAAUCAAAUUACACUUUUCUAGGAAGCUCCGGCUGGUCAGGUAGCCUGAGGCUAUAAUGGUUGAUAUAGGACUGUCAGAACUCAGGCUGCCUGUGUCAAAUCAUGUCUCUGCCGCUUCUCACUUUGUGACCUGAGAUGGGGUACUUCUCUGUCCUCCAGUUUCUUUAUCUAUGAAGUACAGGCAAUAAUACCAAAGGCAUACUGGGCAUGGUGGCCAUGCCUGUAAUCCCAGCACUUGGGAGGCUGAAGCAGGAGGAUCACUGUGAUUUCUAGCUAGGCUGAGCUACCCACUGAGACCCUGCUUCAUAAAAACAAAACAAAACAAAACAAAAAACUAGGGCUAGGGAUUUAGUUCAGUGGCUUAAGGGCCUGCCUGGCAAGUAUGAGGUCCUGAGUUCGAUCCCCAGUACCAAAAAAAAGAAAAAAAAAAAAACCAAACACAUAGAACUGUUGUGCAAGUUUAAUGAGCUACCAGUGAUACAUAUAAAGCUCUUAAAACAGGUUAGCAUUUAGCAAAUUCUGUAAAGAAAUAAAGUAAAUAAGAUGUAACAUAAUAGUGUGACUAAAUAACAGGUUUAAAAUAAUAUUGUGACUAAAGUACAGGGCAGUACAUUGUGGAUGUCUAUCGGUUGCCAUUGCUUUUGUAUAUACCAGGAAGAUCUGGGCAGCUCCUCUCACACCUUUCACACAACUUGGCUGGACUAAGGGAUUUCCAGAGACUGUUAAAACAUUUCUGGGUGCAUCUGUUAGGGUGUUUCAGAAAAAGAUGAGGAUUUAAAUAGACUGAGAAAAAAUGAUGUAGCCUACCAAAGUUGAAGGCGUCAUGCUAUCCAACUUUUGUUAAAGGCAGGGGAAGUGUGAUUUCACCCAGUUCUUAGACUCCUGAUUCUCAGUGGCUUCUGUCCUUAGUUCUCAGUCUUCGGUUUUGGACUGGGAGUAAUACCGUCAGUUCCUCCUUGUGACUCAGACAAAUUUAUAGUAGGUUCUCUUCUGGUUCUCUAGCUUACAAACCACAGAUAAUGCGACUUCAUAACUGUAUCAGCCAGCUUCAUAAUCUCCCCCCCCCAUUCUGUUUUAUGGAGAAGGCUGAACAAAAAGACAACCUUCCCUGAGUGCUGUCUUACUGGCAGCCCUACCUCUGAUGUUCACAUUGGAUACUUAAUCUUUGUGCCAGAACACACAUGUGAUUUAAAACAAUAGUGAAUGUUUAAAUUAAAAAAUGUAUUACAGUAAGAGAUGAGGUAAUAGGGCCAGGGAUAUAGCUCAGUGGCACAGCGCCUGCCUGGCAAGUGCCAUGUCCUGAGUGUGAUUCCUAGUACCAGUACCCUACCCCCAGUGGCAUAAUGGUUGAUUCAUUGUGUCAACCUGAGAAGUUUGGAAGUUUAACUGAGUCACUCAGCAGAGCACCAGGGUUCCCACUUUGUAAACAUCCUCUUCCUUUGCAAGAGCAGGGCAUGGCCAUAGUGUGAGUGCUACACUGGCCCUAGAGGGCAGGUAACCUGCUUACAAUAUGAGGGAGGAAAAGGGGCUUGCUCUCACCUCUUUUGCUCUUUCUGCUUGUGGUGUCUUUUGCCACCUUGAAGUGUUGCCCCUGUGCCAUGCCACCCUGCCUUGGAGAUAGCUGAUUACGUAUCGAAACCUCCACAAACUGUGAGCUGAAUAAACCUUACCUUCUUUAAUUUUGGCAUCAAGUAUUUUGUCCCAGCAAUGAGAGAAUGUGAUAGUUCAGACCCUGGAAUAAAAUCCAAGGAAGCAAGACAUUAAGAAAUUUGGAGCAAAGGCUUUAUUUUAGGCCAGGCCUGGCGACGCAGCCUCCGGUAGCCAAUAUGGAAGACUGUGUGCCUAACAGCUAAAGGGCAGGGUUUUAUCUUGUAAAACCACAAACAACUGCUGGUCUCACAAUACAAGGAGGGGGGUGGGUUUGUGGCGCACUACAAAACAGGAACAUGGUGAUUACAUUUUUUGGGGGAAGAGCAAGGUUCAGGUAAGGGUUGGGUUAACAAGCAAGUUUAGAUUAGCAAACAUCCUCUGGGGGAAGGCACAUCCUGCAAACAAGCAAGUUUCCCUGCAAACAAGCAAGUUUAGAUUAGGAAGACAUCCUGUUCUGCUCUUAGAGUUACCUUUGAUCUUUUUCUUGCCUCUGAGGAGACUUAUGAGGGGUUUUUUAUAUAUAGGUUAUCAAAAGAAAAGCUACCAACACAGAUACAUUGCCAUUAAUUCCCCACCCCCCUCAAAAUACUCCCCUCAUUUUAAACACACUUAUCCCUGCAUUUUUGACACUUUUAGAGACCAUUCUGGUCUCUUCUUUUGUAUCUUUUUGUGCCUCAGUGUCCUAAAAUGAUUCAAAAUAUUUACAGCAAUUUUUGUCAAAUAAAAAACAUUACAGUAUAGGUUUAUACACCUUAUUUACUGGAUUUGGUACAUGCAGCUUCUGGUUUUUCUCUAGCAUCAAAAUGACCAUGAGAUAGUCAGAUUCUGUCUAUAAAUAAAAAUAAACAUAAUAAAAUAAAUUGAACAAUCAGUUAAAAAAUCAUAAAAAGUAAAUAUUUUGAACUGAUUCAGUACACCUUUGAUUGCAGCCAUGGCAUUGCAAUCAAAGGCACUCACAGAAGAGGUUUUCUAGAACUGCUCUAGAAAACGAUAAGAAGUGUAUUCAAAGUGAGGGGAAAUAUUUUGAGGGGGAUUCAAGGCAAUGUGUCUUUUCCUGUAGCAGUUUUUUUUUUUUAACUUUAAAUAGUCACUGGAAUUUUUGCUCAUACCUCCCAACUGAAGGGGAAUCUCUGGGGCCUAGACUAGGCCAGUGGCAGCAAAUCUAUGGCAUGUGUGCCACAGCUGGCUGAUGAUUGUCAUUGAAAUCUCUGAAAACUCUAGGCGAUGACACUGAAGCUCUGUGGCUUCAGUUUUCCCAUCCACUAGCAAGGCAGGGGCAACUCAUCCAACUCACUCACUUUAUGAGGCUGUCUCAACAACCUUGGGAAUUUGAGUUACAAAUUCAGAGCAGCUGGCCAUGAUGACCCAGCUGAGAUGCAGCCAGGUCACUAGAGUCAUGGUGGGUCAUGAGCAUGCCAAAGGGAUGAGAGAGAAAGCGUGAGAAGGAAGUGGCUGUGAGGGGGAGGAGAGACUCAGGGUAGAGUGAAGUAAGAAACUUGGUGGUGGGAGUAGAUGCACAUAGAUAAAAAUGGCAGUACCAAGGGUAACUGGGACUUGUUCUUGGUGGAGUUCCUGGAGUCUUGCUGCAGAGGUUCCUCGAGGUACCAGAUCAGCUUUUUUGUUCCCAUGUGGCCUGAUCACUUGAUUCAGCAGUACCUGAAGUGAGGCUCACACACUGACAAGAAUUGGAAUGCAAAUAAGAAAGCAAAUGUGUCCCUUCAGCUAGAGAGAUUUCCAUGACUCAGACUAUUCAAGGAGCGAAACACUGCUGUCAUGUAGACUUAUCUUAAAAAUAAAAACCCAACAUGUGCAAUGCUUAGGAUCAGUCUAAUGUUAUUCUAAGCAACUUUCUAUACAUUAAACUCAAAACUCAAGUCUACUAUUGUCCCAACUAUUAUUAGUGUGAACUAUUUAGUUUGCACUAUUAUUGUCCCCUCUUCAUAAAUGACAAAACAUAGACACAAAACAUUAUGGAGCCUGAGGCCCAGGAUUCAAAUCUAGACAAGCCAGCUCCAGAACCACCUCCGAACCGUGUGCUGUGCAUGCAAACUGAUGGCCCACGCACGGCCUUUCAUUAUAAUAUAUCCUUCCAAAAACCAAACCCAUGGACAAAUCCCAGCUCUGUUCCCAGUUUUCUCCCUUUUAAUCCUGCACCUUUGAAGAAAUAUAUCAUUAAAAAGAACAGCUUUAAUUUAUUGAAUAACUGCUUUACCAGCUUGUCGGCAGAAGCUUUGCAGCUUUGCAGCAGAAGCUUUGCAAUCCAUGCACCUUAGAUUAGGUUAUCAUUCUUUCUGUAGUUGGGACCUGGAAUGUCCUUUAAGGCUCGUAUGUUAAAAGCUUGAUUACCAACCUGUGGCACUGUGGAGAGGUGGAGGAACCUUCUGGAGAUGAGGCCCCUUGGAAGGACAUGAGGUCAUUGCAGGGACAAUGGAAGGGGACAUCCAGAAUUCAGCCUCUUGGGUUGUUUCCCAGUUACUGUGAGGUGAGCACCACCUUUGUCCCCCCUCCCCGUGCUCCCCACUGUGAUGUUGUGCAGCAGGCCCAAAGUAUUGGGGCAAGCAACCACGGGCUGAAACCUCUCAGACUGUGAGCCAAAAGAAGUCUUUUCUCCUUGUGAGUUGACUAUCUUAAGUGUUCUUUCACAGCAGUAGAAAGGCAACAGAGCUACUUUACCUCCCUCUACUGGGAACAGUCAUAACUCAGCUACCACAAGACAAAACAAGCUCAGUACUGCCAGUAUCAUAUUGCUCAAGAGAAGCUAAAUGUAGGUGUUCAAAAUGAGACCUGCUGCUAGCUGGGCAUGGUGGUGCACACCUGUAAUCCCAGUACUCGAGAGGCUGAGGCAGGAGGAUCGUUGUGAGGUCGAGGCCAGCCUGGGUUAUAAAGUUAGCUCAAGGCCAACCUGUACUGCAAAGUGAGACCCUGCCUCAAAAAUACAAAAAAAAAAAAAAAAAAAUUGCCAUGGGUACACAUAAGAUUGGCAAAAAUGAGCCAAAAUAAGGUCUGCUGCCAGCCCUUGACACACAAAGAAACAGGACACAAUGCAAUGCACUGCCUCAAAAACAAGCAAGUUCUUUGAAAAAACAAAGAUACAGCCACUCUCUCACCUUCCAGUUAAAUGGUACCAAGCCCCCAGUACUGGAAUCUUCUACCUGAGCCAUCACCAGACUUGAGCAACAUAGUUGCACAGGAAGUAGGGAGGCAGGUACAACCUUGAUUCUGUGCACAAAAUCUGUCCUACUUGUCUGCUCACUAGAAAACGUAAAUAAAAUAUUAGUUUGAUACUGAUAUUAUACUUGGUGAAAGCUGACAGUACACUUGCCAAUUUUGAACUUAUACUAGGGUUUCUGGAUUAGCUCAUUAGAAAAUGAGGUUUUUGUUCGGUCCCUGGCACCCCCCCCCAAAAUGAGGUUUUCAAAUUAAAUCUCCAGAUUAUUGAGUGUUAUCUUGGUUAUUUUUCCCAAGGAUGCAGAUAUAACAGGGUUGGUGGCUGGGGACUUGGACACUUGUGCUAGGUUGGUGCUCUACCACUGAGCUACAUCCCUGGCCCUCUGUCCUUUAUUUUUUGUUUUGAAAUAGGUUCUUGCUAAAUUGCCCAGGUUGGCUUGGAACUUGUAAUACUCCUGCCUUAGCCUCCUAAGUAACUGGAAUUACAGGUGUGCACCAACACAGCCAGCCAGUCUAUUAACUUUUAUGUAUUAGGAAGCAUUAAUAAGAAAACAAAGGCCAGGCACUGUGGCAGACACCUGUAACCCCAGCGCACAGGAGACUGAAGCAGGAGAGUUAGAGGCCAGCCUGGGCUACCUAGCAAGACCCUGUUUCAAAAACAAAGUAAGUACUUGGGAAGCUGAGGCAGGGGUAUCACCCUGAGUUCAAGGCCAGCCUGGGAUACAUAAUAAGUUGAAGGCUAGCCUGAACUACAUUGUGAAACACUGUCUCAAAAAAAUCCAAAAGAAAAAAAUUAAAAAUCAUAGGUAUUAAAUUAUUUUUAUAAAUUUGUGGGAGAAGGUGGUGGUAUACCCCUAUAAGCCCAGCACUCUUGAGAGCUGAGGCAGGAGGAUAGUUUGAGCACAAGAUGGACCAUUUAGAGACAAAGCAAGACCGUGUCUCAAAAUGCAAAGCACUAGGGAUGUAGCUUAGUGUAAAGGCUCUGAUUUCAAUACCCAGUACUGAGAAAAAAAAAAUCUAGGACAAACAAAAAUUCUGCAAGUUGCUAGCUUACAACUACUGGCUUUAAAAUAAACUGAUAUGGCUGUUUGGUGUAGCUAAGUGGUGAGUGAUGGGUCCGCUCCUGUGAAGCGCUGCCAGGCUCAGCGAGGCGCCUGCCCAACAUGGCACUGGACAGCGCCACCCUACAACACCCAAAAAUUGAACUCCCUGCUUCUCGCGUGCGCGACACCAUACCUCCAAUCAGCUGUCAAAACGUCACUGCCCGCCCCUUCAAACUCCUCUCCCCUGUCAAACUGAAUAAAAGCUUUAGGUCUGCCCUGCAGGGGAUGUUGCCCUGUACUGUAGCCUUCCUGUGUCCCAAUAAAGGCCUUUUUCUUUCUUCC